Camelus dromedarius (Arabian camel) is the source of this 77-nucleotide non-coding RNA. NCBI's taxonomy places the organism in Eukaryota, Metazoa, Chordata, Mammalia, Artiodactyla, Camelidae. The record is from the annotation of a RefSeq genome assembly.
UGGGGUAUAGCUCAGUGGUAGAGCUCGUGCUUAGAAUGCACGAGGUCCUGGGUUCAAUCCCCAGUACCUCGCCCCAA